AACGAACGCUGGCGGCAUGCCUAACACAUGCAAGUCGAACGAGACCUUCGGGUCUAGUGGCGCACGGGUGCGUAACGCGUGGGAACCUGCCCUUAGGUUCGGAAUAACUCCCCGAAAGGGGUGCUAAUACCGGAUAAUGUCUUCGGACCAAAGAUUUAUCGCCUUUGGAUGGGCCCGCGUUGGAUUAGCUAGUUGGUAGGGUAAAAGCCUACCAAGGCGACGAUCCAUAGCUGGUCUGAGAGGAUGAUCAGCCACACUGGGACUGAGACACGGCCCAGACUCCUACGGGAGGCAGCAGUGGGGAAAAAUGGACAAUGGGCGAAAGCCUGAACCAGCGAUGCCGCGUGAGUGAUGAAGGCCUUAGGGUUGUAAAGCUCUUUUACCCGGGAUGAUAAUGACAGUACCGGGAGAAUAAGCUCCGGCUAACUCCGU
RNAcentral lists this ribosomal RNA (432 nucleotides) under uncultured bacterium. RNAcentral describes it as "partial 16S ribosomal RNA". It matches the Rfam family "Bacterial small subunit ribosomal RNA", at positions 29 to 506 of the family's 1533-position model. The record is from RNAcentral.